RNAcentral lists this ribosomal RNA (482 nucleotides) under uncultured bacterium. RNAcentral's name for it is "partial 16S ribosomal RNA". It matches the Rfam family "Bacterial small subunit ribosomal RNA", at positions 30 to 507 of the family's 1533-position model. The record is from RNAcentral.
AUUGAACGCUGGCGGCAUGCCUUACACAUGCAAGUCGAACGGUAACGGGCCUUCGGGUGCCGACGAGUGGUGAACGGGUGAGUAAUACAUCGGAACGUGUCCGAUCGUGGUGGAUAACGGGGCGAAACCUUUGCUAAUACCGCAUACGAUCUACGGUUGAAGGCAGGGGACCGCAAGGCCUUGCGCGGACUUUGCGGCCGAUGGCAGAUUAGGUAGUUGGUGGGAUAAAAGCUUACCAAGCCGACGAUCUGUAGCUGGUCUGAGAGGAUGAUCAGCCACACUGGAACUGAGACACGGCCCAGACUCCUACGGGAGGCAGCAGUGGGGAAUUUUGGACAAUGGGCGAAAGCCUGAUCCAGCCAUGCCGCGUGCAGGAUGAAGGCCUUCGGGUUGUAAACUGCUUUUGUACGGAACGAAAAGCCUUCUUUUAAUACAGGAGGGUCAUGACGGUACCGUAAGAAUAAGCACCGGCUAACUACGUG